RNAcentral lists this ribosomal RNA (468 nucleotides) under uncultured bacterium. Its description in RNAcentral is "partial 16S ribosomal RNA". It matches the Rfam family "Bacterial small subunit ribosomal RNA", at positions 28 to 507 of the family's 1533-position model. The record is from RNAcentral.
GACGAACGCUGGCGGCGUGCCUAAUACAUGCAAGUCGAACGCUAAAGCGAUGAUCUUGUGGUGUGCUCGUGUGUCGCGCGCGGGUGAGUCACGUGUGGGAAACCUCCUUGGUAUUGGGGUAAAACCAGGAGAAACGGGAUCUUAUCCGGUAGGACCACCUGUGGCACGUGGGGUGUUGGAGAGAGUCGGCGGUUCUGGAUGGACACGCGGACUUUCAGCUUGUUGGUGGGGUGGUGACUUACUAGGGCUUCGACGGGUAGCCGGCCUGAGAGGGUGACCGGCCACAUAGGGACUGAGAUACGGCCCAGACGCCUACGGGAGGCAGGAGUGGGGAAUAUUGCACGAUGGGCGGAAGCCGGAUGCAGGAACGCCGCGUGCGGGAUGACGGCUUUCGGUUUGUAACCCGCGUUAGCCUGUGACGAAGCGUGAGUGACGGUAAUGGGUAAAGAAGCAACGGCUAACUACGUG